RNAcentral lists this long non-coding RNA (3797 nucleotides) under Podarcis lilfordi (Lilford's wall lizard). Lineage: Eukaryota; Metazoa; Chordata; Lepidosauria; Squamata; Lacertidae. The record is from RNAcentral.
AUGAUUACUGAGUAUUCUCUCCCAGAUGAGGUAUUAAUAUAGAGCGCCAUGGCAUGCAGAAGAAGAAGCAUGUUGCAUCAGGUCAGAGGUCCAUCUGUUCUUGAGUUCUGUUCCCAACCAGGACCUAAAGCUGAUGGUCUUCAUCUGCUGUUCAUCCUCACUCAUGUACCAUUCAGAGAUACACCCUGGCUUGCAGUUCCAUCCUUCGUUUUCGUGGCUAAAAGUCCCUGAAAGGAAAUAGUCCUAUUCUGCACAGUUUGGGUCCAAAUUAAGCUAACCAGUGGAAUGUAAGUGCAGCAAAUUGAGCCUUACAAAUUAGUUUUAAUCAUUUUCUAGCACAAUCUAACCUAGUGACUCAUCACUGGGGCUUUUUUCAGCCAGAACUCAGUUCCAGCACCUUGUAAGUGGGCACCAUUGCCAUUAUAAGAGAACAACUGAGGUGAUCAUGGUGAUUUCCGGCACCUCUUUCUUUAGAACAGUGGUUCUCAACCUGUGGGUCCCCAGAUGUUGUUGGACUACAACUCCCAUCAUCCCUGAGCUCUGGCCUUGCUAGCUAGGGGUGAUGGGAGAUGGGAUCCUCAUAACAGAGGGUCCUAGUUGCGCACGGGACCCAAGAGCUCACCUGAUAGGGUUAGAAUGGGGGGGGGAGGAGCAAGAAGUCCUGGCCAUUCCCCUGGGAUCACACCAGGCGAUUUUAGCCAAUCCCCAGUGGGUGGCGUGAUCCCAGGGGCUUUAAAAACAGCAGUGUGAUGCAAGGAGGGGCACUUGCUUCGCACUGUUGAACACCCACCCAACCUCCCUAGUUUAGGUAGAGUCGCUUGGCCUUGCUUUGGUUUGGGUCGCCUGUUUUGGAACAGGGGCUGGGUAGGAAUUUUUCCAUUUGGAAGAUUGGCUUUAGCCAUUUGGUUUUCGCCUACCCCUCAGCAAAUCGUCACAACUUGUAAGGUGGCGGUUAGACAAUGGCUCAGUUGGAUUGUGGGGAGGGGAGGUGCGGCCAUCACCUGCCCCUCCAGGAACUGGGUAUUCCGUAAAAGGAAUCUGGGGGUCCUGGAUCUCGUCCGAAGUCCGCUUGAGGGGCUAGGGCCAUGCCAGGACCACAGGAACCUCGGGGUGAGCUUUGGUUGGUCCUCAUCGACCUAGCUCCCUCGUUUGGUUUACCCCAUUAGAUGAUUGCCCUGAGAGGUGGAGCCAGUUAUAGUGGGGAGUCAAUGCCUAAGCCAAUACCGCUCACGUGAUUGUAUUUCAAUAAAGUUGUGGCCAAAAAUUUUGCCCCAAAACUUAAACUAAUAUAAGUGUCCGUGUGUAUUUAUUUUGGGGGUGGGUCUUGGGGCCUCGAGAUGCAUUUGUAGUUCAACAACAUCUGGGGACCCGGAGGUUGAGAAAGGCUGCUCUAGAAGAAUAGAACUGGUCCUCACAUAUUCUGCCCGGUGUAUGAAGCUGCUCCUUCCUUCUAUCGCAAGCUCCAUGCUGUUCAUUUUUGCUUGGAGUGAGCCCAGAGUUUUAAUAUUAUGAGUGAGAGAGGGAAGAAAGCCCCACUCUCCACUACUAUAUUCAUAAUUUUAUAACCCCCUCUCCCCACUGUCCUCCCUUUCCAUGCUCCCUCUGUUCUGUUAUUGAACUGAAGGUAGCCUCAGUCAGCAAACAAGCCAUAGAUGGAGGCGGGCAUCGCAGUGCCUGCUGUGGCAGAGCUUGAUCUUAAGGAACCAUCAGGAUUACAGAUCAUUGCCUGGCUGAAUGAUGUCUUUCCUGGAGGAAGCUUAUUAACGAUGCUGCACUCUGAGGCUUGGCUUCGAGUAAUAAUUCUUUUAGCCGCACAAGGGAGCUUGUCACUGCAAUCAUUCUUCUUCACCGCAGGAGCCGAGUAGGACCUUCCAUGUGAAUCGAAGAGCAAGCCACUUAUCUCCUGUAACUAACUCUGUGUUGGCCGUUUCCAUAAAGAAAGUUUUCAUUUCCUUCCUUGCCUCUGGAAACCAUAUUUUUAAAUGUUGCAACCUGUGACCCUCCAGACAUUGUGGGACUGGAGCUGAUGGAAGGUGUAGUUUAAUUUCUACUUUAAAAGACCAGUACAUAUUCCAGUGGUCGGGGUUCCCUAGUACUCCAGAUAUUUGGAAUGAAUAUGAGGAAAUAUGAGGAAAGCUGAAGCACUCCUUAACAACAGGGCCUCUGGUAUUAUUUACAAUACCUCUAUAUCUGGCUGGGGCGGCAGGGAUAGGACAACUUUUCUGAAAAUCGACACGGCUUGUUGCAGAAUGAUGUUUUUAUAGCGCCUUAAAUUAUUUCCAUUCUGUUCUGUUGACGAAACAGCUGGCUUGCUAAUGCAAUGGAUAGCUAAAGCUAUGAAAGAAGCAUUUCAACUUGUUUAGAAAACUUAAUUUUAAGCAUUUGUGAUUUAAAGAAUUGGGGAAUUUUACUUCCUCAGAGUUAGGAACGGAUGAAUUUGUCAGUUUUGGUUUCUUUCAGUUCUAAUUUUUCCAAUCAUAAAUUCAGUCCUCUACAUUUCUGCAGCAGUUUACAAAUUUGUUUACAUUUUAAAAAUAAUAAUACUAAAUCAUCAUGAAAACUCAUUAGCAUCUUUAUUCUAAUUUCUUCUAACCCAGACAUUUUUGCACGCAAUCCCCCCAUUACAUUGCAUUUUAAUGUGCUAUUUUCAUUCAUUUUAAGAGUGUUUUCUGUUUUUAUGAUGAAUUUUAAUUGUUCUUGUUCUCUGUGUGGUUCUUAAAAAACAUUCUUUGCACACCACUUAGAAAUUCUGAAUAUUAUACGGUACAGUUGUACCUCAGAAGUCAAACGCCUUGCGACUCGAACAUUUUUGCUCCUGAAUGCCACAAAUCCAGAAGUGGGUGUUCCGCUUUGUGAACAUUUUUUGAAACCUGAACGUCUGACGCGGGUUCCACCGGUUCUGAUUGGCUGCAGGAGCUUUCUGCAGCCAAUCAGAAACCACGCCUUGGUUUCUGAACGUUUUGGAAGUCAAACAGAUUUCCAGAACGGACUCCAUUUGACUUCCGAGGUACGACUGUAUAACUGUAUGAACAUCUGAAAUGGAAAUGAAAACAAAUUAUUCACACUUUUCUGUAAAAUAUACAUUUUAGCACACAUUGUUUGGUUAGACAACUAUAGUGCAAAAUCUGGAGAAAUGGGAAUUUGAAGGACAGCUGUGUGUUAGCGCGUAAAGUGUGAAUUUCCUCACUAAAAUGCAAACAAGCUAAAAAUUUAUCUUCCCCAUCCUUACACAGUGUACAAGAUAAGAAGCUGGGCUGCAAAGCAGGGAGAGGCAGUUCUCUGGCCCAGGACCAAACUAUUUCAUGCUGGGAAUGGAUCGGUCCAGAUACAGGCGUGGCCAACCUUGUUGGUCAGUUUCCUUUUUCUCAUCCAUCUUCUUCAGCCUCCUUGACACCCGCUCAACUACCUUCUUCCAAAGAUGUUAUCUGUCAGCCACAGUUUGCCUGCUUGACUAAGCAUCAGCUCAAACAUGCCCCGGACUGACGGAUCUUUCUGACUUGCUUCCCUCUGAGGCUUUUGUCGGUGGAGGCUGCCAAGGAUGGCAGCCUGGGAAAUCAAAGCAAAGAAAGCUCACAUUGAAAGGGGGAAACCCGUUUUUACAUCUCCUUGCUUGUAUUUUGCUUUCCAGCGAGCCGAGCCUUUGAUUCCACCAACGGGUGGCAAAGGCGAGGGGGACAGAGGCUGCAGUCCUUGCAUACAGUUGGGUCAUUGUCCUUAUGUCAUUGGCUGGAAGAGGGAUCACAAUGAAUGUUCCGCACAGCAAUUCUUAUGGGAGCCAGAGCUGGCUUGCUGGGGGU